RNAcentral lists this ribosomal RNA (506 nucleotides) under uncultured bacterium. RNAcentral's name for it is "partial 16S ribosomal RNA". It matches the Rfam family "Bacterial small subunit ribosomal RNA", at positions 28 to 523 of the family's 1533-position model. The record is from RNAcentral.
GAUGAACGCUAGCUACAGGCUUAACACAUGCAAGUCGAGGGGUAACGAGAGGAAAGCUUGCUUUCCUUGUCGACGACCGGCGCACGGGUGAGUAACGCGUAUCCAACCUGCCCCCAACUAGGGAAUAACCUUGCGAAAGUAAGACUAAUACCCUAUAAUUUCCUCAGAUGUCAUCUGACGAGGAAUAAAGAUUUAUCGGUUGUGGAUGGGGAUGCGUCUGAUUAGCUUGUUGGCGGGGUAACGGCCCACCAAGGCAACGAUCAGUAGGGGUUCUGGGAAGGAGGUCCCCCACAUUGGAACUGAGACACGGUCCAAACGCCUACGGGAGGCAGCAGUGAGGAAUAUUGGUCAAUGGGCGGAAGCCUGAACCAGCCAAGUAGCGUGCAGGAUGACGGCCCUAUGGGUUGUAAACUGCUUUUAUACAGGAAUAAAGUUAGCCACGUGUGGUUAUUUGUAGGUACUGUAUGAAUAAGGACCGGCUAAUUCCGUGCCAGCAGCCGCCGUAA